Long non-coding RNA from Dioscorea cayenensis subsp. rotundata (Guinea yam), 924 nucleotides. RefSeq lists it as uncharacterized. The record is from RefSeq and is a predicted model, not a curated record. The transcript is spliced from 3 exons. Lineage: Eukaryota; Viridiplantae; Streptophyta; Magnoliopsida; Dioscoreales; Dioscoreaceae.
GGCAUAUGACUGGAUACUUGGGAAUCUUCUCUUCCUUCAAGCAAUUGCACUUCUCAUCUCUCUUUGAUGCUUCUAAGUAUCUCUCUCUCUCUCUCUCUCUCUCUCUCUCUCUCUCUUUUUCUCUUUAUCUCUAUCUGAUGAAAAUUCAGCUCCAAAUCAUACAAGAAAAUCUCAGAAGUGGUGUGUGCUUGGUGAUAAGUAUCAAUAUCCAUUAGAUUGACAUCGGAAUGUUAAAAAGAACAAUUCCCCCAGCUCAAAGUGAUCUUUGACGGUUUUUAAGCACUGGUCAUCUGAAGGAUCAUUCAUGUCUUACUAACAUUAUAAGAACCUCACUCAAACAUAAAGAUGAACUAGUAAGCCGCAUACCACAUCAAAAUAUGGUGUGAUAAAGAGAAGAGAGUGGUGGCUUUACCGUUUUCUACAACUAGCCAUUGGUCUACGAUGAGCUCUUUACGUGAACUACUGAGGAAGGACCACCCUUUCCAUAUGGAUUCUACCGUUGGACUUCUUCCAUAGGUUCACAGUCACCAAUAGCCUACUAUCUUUGAUGGUGAUCAAAAUUUGUUUCCUUAUGAACAUUAUAUAAAUGUGGCAGUUACAUUGACAUGUAUAUCUCAAGAAAGAACAGCUGUAUGAUAAUGAUGAAAAGAUAGAACUCUCAUAGUGUUGAUACCAUUAUCCUCUCUUUGUAACCAAAAAAAGAAAAACAUGAACGGAAGCAUGGACAAUCUUAAGGUAGAUCAAAUCUUGUUCUAAAUUUGUUAGACAAAAUUCUUCAAGCAAAAGAAUGAAACAAAAGCUACUUCCAGGUCAGUGUGAGAGCCUGUUGAACACGGUUCCAGAUAAAGUUGACAAAGUCCAUAAUUUCAGCAGUAAGCAAUAUAAUUAUGCUCAAGGAAAAGACUGCCAAGUUAUGAACUAAUA